This 468-nucleotide ribosomal RNA is filed under the name Escherichia coli. RNAcentral describes it as "bacterial SSU rRNA". It matches the Rfam family "Bacterial small subunit ribosomal RNA", at positions 1 to 465 of the family's 1533-position model. Lineage: Bacteria; Pseudomonadati; Pseudomonadota; Gammaproteobacteria; Enterobacterales; Enterobacteriaceae. The record is from RNAcentral.
AAAUUGAAGAGUUUGAUCAUGGCUCAGAUUGAACGCUGGCGGCAGGCCUAACACAUGCAAGUCGAACGGUAACAGGAAGCAGCUUGCUGCUUCGCUGACGAGUGGCGGACGGGUGAGUAAUGUCUGGGAAACUGCCUGAUGGAGGGGGAUAACUACUGGAAACGGUAGCUAAUACCGCAUAACGUCGCAAGACCAAAGAGGGGGACCUUCGGGCCUCUUGCCAUCGGAUGUGCCCAGAUGGGAUUAGCUAGUAGGUGGGGUAACGGCUCACCUAGGCGACGAUCCCUAGCUGGUCUGAGAGGAUGACCAGCCACACUGGAACUGAGACACGGUCCAGACUCCUACGGGAGGCAGCAGUGGGGAAUAUUGCACAAUGGGCGCAAGCCUGAUGCAGCCAUGCCGCGUGUAUGAAGAAGGCCUUCGGGUUGUAAAGUACUUUCAGCGGGGAGGAAGGGAGUAAAGUUAAUA